GGGGGGGUGGGGAGGUCUCUCAGCCCGAAUUGUGAGAGGGUGCAAGCCAGGUCGAGGGACCCCACCAGUGCACA
Myotis lucifugus (little brown bat) is the source of this 74-nucleotide non-coding RNA. The record is from Rfam. Lineage: Eukaryota; Metazoa; Chordata; Mammalia; Chiroptera; Vespertilionidae.